This 268-nucleotide ribosomal RNA is filed under the name Ammonia sp. T2A. Its description in RNAcentral is "partial small subunit ribosomal RNA". Lineage: Eukaryota; Foraminifera; Rotaliida; Rotaliidae. The record is from RNAcentral.
GCGACCGCGCCGAACCUACUUCGAAAGUAAAAUUUCUCAGUGGGUAAUCCAUUAGAAGUAAUGACUCGCAUAGACCAUGGCACAACUAAAUGUACGCGCAGGUUCUACCCGGCUCGCCUUUGUGUGAGUGCAGUGCGUAGCUUGUUGUUUCGUACGUGCCACUCCGUAUUAAUUCGUACGUGGGGAUAGAUCAUUGUUUAAUUGUUGGUCUCGGUCUUAACUAGGAAUGCCUUGUACGGGUCUCUGGUUCAACAUACCACCCGGAAUA